GUGCCCAACGUGGGGCAGAGCUAGAGGUCCCUCAUAUUGAGGGAACUUGCCCCCUCUGAUGGCAUCUCGCUACGGUAUUGAACUGUAAGCGCCAGAGACUCCCAGGGACUGUAUAGGGAUAGGGGGUCCACAACUGGCAAGCUCCAUAACACCUAGUCUGACGACUGACAGAGUUGUUUCUUCCACAGAAACCUAUCUGCUUUCAGGGAUGGCAGAUGUAUCCGAAACAGGGGUCAUCGUGGUCCCUCAGACAGUCAGUCGCCCGGCAAGAGACCAAAUUCCGUCCCUUCCAUCAACGCAGCUGAAUCCCAUCAAAGAUAUCAGUGGAAGGUCCUACCACAAGGCAUGAAGAACAGUCCUUCUCUAUGUCGGCGUUUUGUGGUCGACCUCUUGUCACCGUUGAGAAGAUAAUUUUCUGAGACUUUCUGUUACCACUAUAUGGACAAUUUACUUCUGUCAGCCUUGUCCUCCCAAAAUUUAACUGCACUAGCACAAGCUACUAUUUCCGCUCUACAGCUACUAUUU
This is a long non-coding RNA of Chiroxiphia lanceolata (lance-tailed manakin), 525 nucleotides long. RefSeq lists it as uncharacterized. The transcript is spliced from 3 exons. The record is from RefSeq and is a predicted model, not a curated record. NCBI's taxonomy places the organism in Eukaryota, Metazoa, Chordata, Aves, Passeriformes, Pipridae.